Molecule: ribosomal RNA, 510 nt
Filed under: uncultured bacterium
Lineage: Bacteria
Description: partial 16S ribosomal RNA
Rfam family: Bacterial small subunit ribosomal RNA
Source: RNAcentral
GACGAACGCUGGCGGCGUGCUUAACACAUGCAAGUCGAACGAAGAGCGAUGGAAGCUUGCUUCUAUCAAUCUUAGUGGCGAACGGGUGAGUAACGCGUAAUCAACCUGCCCUUCAGAGGGGGACAACAGUUGGAAACGACUGCUAAUACCGCAUACGAUCUAAACUCGGCAUCGAGGAUAGAUGAAAGGUGGCCUCUACAUGUAAGCUAUCACUGAAGGAGGGGAUUGCGUCUGAUUAGCUAGUUGGAGGGGUAACGGCCCACCAAGGCGAUGAUCAGUAGCCGGUCUGAGAGGAUGAACGGCCACAUUGGGACUGAGACACGGCCCAGACUCCUACGGGAGGCAGCAGUGGGGAAUCUUCCGCAAUAGACGAAAGUCUGACGGAGCAACGCCGCGUGAGUGAUGACGGCCUUCGGGUUGUAAAGCUCUGUUAAUCGGGACGAAAGGCCUUCUUGCGAAUAGUGAGAAGGAUUGACGGUACCGGAAUAGAAAGCCACGGCUAACUACGUG